Molecule: unclassified non-coding RNA, 507 nt
Filed under: uncultured Bartonella sp.
Lineage: Bacteria; Pseudomonadati; Pseudomonadota; Alphaproteobacteria; Hyphomicrobiales; Bartonellaceae
Description: partial 16S-23S ribosomal RNA intergenic spacer
Rfam family: tRNA (bases 85-158)
Source: RNAcentral
GAAAUGAUGCUUUUAUGAGAUAGAGCUUUUUUAGAUAAUGCUUUUUUAGAUAAUGCUGGGGAAGGUUUUCCGGUUUAUCUCGGAGGGCUUGUAGCUCAGUUGGUUAGAGCGCGCGCUUGAUAAGCGUGAGGUCGGAGGUUCAAGUCCUCCCAGGCCCACCAAUUUACCUAUCCAUUUGCUUUUAUCCGUUUAUUUGCCGAUUUAUCGGUCCAUUGAAUUUAAGUGUUGGUAGCGGUUUUUAUAAUGAUGAGAAAUCAUGCUUAUAAAAGAACUCCUUAUAAAAGGCUUGUUUUUAAAAUGUGACGCUUAUCCAUUUCGCUUAGGCAAGAGAAACUUCAAGCGGUUCAAAUGCAAAAGGCUUUAAAUUUUGCAAAACAAUUUGAAUUUUGCAAAACAAUUUGAAUUUUAAAGUGAUCCAAGUUCGUGAUCUCGAAUUUAAAAGUUUCGAAUGCUUUAUCCUUUUUUGGGGGCCGUAGCUCAGCUGGGAGAGCACCUGCUUUGCAAGCA